GAGACUAGAGAAACUGAAGAGAUGGGAGACAAACCGUAGACUCUCCGGCGUCGAUACAGGGGAUCCGCCGCACAUCGCUCACCGACGUCGACAUGACAGAGGGGAUCCGCCGUGCGUGGCGGCUCUCUGGCGUCCACAACAGAAUGGAAAUGAACAGUUGUGCCUGCUGAAUCACAUGUCUACCACCGUUGUAUAUUCGCCGGUCUUCACCAACAACAGCGACACCAGUUGACAGUUACCGAGUUUUCAGGUAUGGGUUUUCUGGUGACGGGGAUGUCUCGCCGGAGAAGAUCGUUUUGAAUGUUUUCGUUCCCCGCGUUGUUUGAUAUCAAAGAUAGAUUCAAAUGAAUCUAAUUUUACAUAUAAAAAUAGGCACAUCAAGUAUUUGUAUAAAUGUUCGUGAAACAAACAAUGGUAAAACCCUAUCAAACACUUGCACAAGCACACCAAAAAUGAUUUAUUGUCGAUAUUGAAGGAUAUGUGAAUAAUCUCCGGUUCUUUGUGUGUUUUGCUGCUAUUAUUUAUGUAGGCUAGGGUUUUUAGCAAUUUUAAGAUUUCCGGUUUUCGUUUUGAUGUAAAUCUUGUGGUUCAAAUUUGCGGCAAUUUUGACCUAUAUAUGAAGUGUGUCAAAUGAAUGAAAGAUGAAUACCUAAAAGGGGAAUCAUUUGCCAGCCGAAUAAUAUAGUGUUGUUAAUUGUUAAAGGAUUUGUUUUCAUCAUAUUUUUCUUAAUAAUGUGUGUAGAUUGCUCUUCAUUUUGGGAGAUAUAUCAUUACCAUAAUGAGCACUAGAGUUGCUUUGUUAAUUGGCUUCAGUUGUCAGGACUGAUGAUCUAUUUUUUUACUUGCUAAAGAUUUUGUUUUUAAGCAAUAUUGACUAAUUAGCCCCUAAAAAUGUUGACUGAAGGUGGAGAUGGUCAAAUGAAUGAUUUAGUUUACAUUACAGUACAACCUUUGCAAUGAACCUUGGUAUACCCUUUUCUUUUCUCUUUCUUUUAUUGACCCGUUACAUAUUUACAGAUCUAUAUUCUUUCAGUAUCUCACGAUCUUGUCAACUAGGGGUGCGCAUAAACCGUUAAAUCCGACUAAAUUGCCCUGACCACAGUAAAUUUGCUGGUUCAGGCGAUUUAAAGAACUGAGUUUUGACGGUUCAGCUACGGUUUGGAACUUGGAACCAGUCAUUUAAUCUAUAUUAUUGUUACCUUUUCAUUUUUGGAGUAUGUAGUUAUGUAUAUGUAAUAUGUAUAAUAUUUAUGAACACUCUUUAUCGUUAUAAAAUAAUUUAAUACAAGCUAAAGGUCGUGGAAAAAUGGAAAAACCAUUCAAACCACUAAAACCGAGCCCUUUGCCUUUUUCGAAAACCGUAGUUUGCGGUUGGGCCCAGAAUUUUCAUCAAAAUAGGCCAAACUAGAGUGCACAAAUCGUUUUUUAGAACCUACAACUGGGUAGGAACGGGGUCCGGGUUUAGUCAACAAAGUCAAGAACUGGGUAGGGUAGGUCUGAAGAAGCCUGUAUUUACCUCUGCUCGAUUGAAAAAGGGUGAAGUUUUGUACCUGGAAAGUCCUACACAAAGGUUUGAGCUUUGUUUUAAUGGAGAGAAGAUGGUGAAGUCGGGAAAUGAAACGAAUACGAAUGGCGUUGACAGUGAUAAUAACAACAAUAACAAUAACAGUAAUAACAAUAUGAUGGAUGUAUUCAGAUGGUCUUUGUGUAAGAAGCCUCUUCCUCAGACGCUUAUGUGCUCCAUCGGCACCCCUUUGCCGCCUGAACAUCUAAAGCUUAUUGGGUCGAUUUGAUGUAUGACGGUGUUUGAUAUGCUGUUAUCCAGGGACGGUCAGGUGGUGUCAAAGUAACAUAAUUUAGAGUAAUUUUGCAGCUCAUUUCUCAAUCCGGUUGGCAUGCUUCAGUUAUGCUUCAUACUACACUUUAUCUAUGGUGUCGAGGCUUCUGUUUGUGGCGUUCUCACCGUUAUCGUCGUUCAGAUGUCAUCGUCAUCGGUCGUUUGGGAUCAAGGCAAAUAUGAGAUUGCUGAUUCACAUAAAGAAGCUGAAAAGGUUGAUUUUAUCAUUUGGAAAUAAUGUCUAUUUAUAUACACGGGUGCAGGUGGUGUCUAUUUAUAUGAAUUAAAAUAAUUAGAUGAUAAAUAGUGUUAAUUGAGCAACUUUAAAGUGUUUUAGGAAAGGGAUGAGUACUUGUCAUACAAAGAGACCUG
RNAcentral lists this long non-coding RNA (2209 nucleotides) under Helianthus annuus (common sunflower). Lineage: Eukaryota; Viridiplantae; Streptophyta; Magnoliopsida; Asterales; Asteraceae. The record is from RNAcentral.